GCGGGAAUAGCUCAGCUGGUAGAGCAUAACCUUGCCAAGGUUAGGGUCGAGGGUUCGAAUCUCUUUUCCCGCU
RNAcentral lists this transfer RNA (73 nucleotides) under Fibrobacter sp. RNAcentral's name for it is "tRNA-Gly". It matches the Rfam family "tRNA". Rfam says of the family: Transfer RNA (tRNA) molecules are approximately 80 nucleotides in length. Their secondary structure includes four short double-helical elements and three loops (D, anti-codon, and T loops). Further hydrogen bonds mediate the characteristic L-shaped molecular structure. tRNAs have two regions of fundamental functional importance: the anti-codon, which is responsible for specific mRNA codon recognition, and the 3' end, to which the tRNAs corresponding amino acid is attached (by aminoacyl-tRNA synthetases). tRNAs cope with the degeneracy of the genetic code in two manners: having more than one tRNA (with a specific anti-codon) for a particular amino acid; and 'wobble' base-pairing, i.e. permitting non-standard base-pairing at the 3rd anti-codon position. RNAcentral also lists the same sequence under 2 other names. Lineage: Bacteria; Pseudomonadati; Fibrobacterota; Fibrobacteria; Fibrobacterales; Fibrobacteraceae. The record is from RNAcentral.